UAGCUCCAUUAGAUGGUUUUCAUGCAUUCUGUUAACUUGAGAAUGCUCUGAGUGAAACAUACAAAGAUGUACUAGCCUAAUUUUCAAGCUCAAUGAUCUUCACCACAGAUGCGUCACCAACUUUCUGGAAAACAACAACUCGGUCAUGUGGUUUUAUAACACCAGCUGUUUUCCCAUGGUCUAGUGCAACCUUCAAUAUCGACUCAUCAGUUGCAUUUGCGGACUCAGCCGGAUGUCUUGGAUCUGCAAGGAUGGGGAAAAUUCCUCUAACAAUAAGAGACUGCCUAGCCUGAAAUGCACCACUGAAUGUCCAGCGCAGUUGGUUUGUCUUGAGACGAGGAAUGACAACAGAUAAAACUGGCAUCGGU
Molecule: unclassified non-coding RNA, 368 nt
Filed under: Hevea brasiliensis (rubber tree)
Lineage: Eukaryota; Viridiplantae; Streptophyta; Magnoliopsida; Malpighiales; Euphorbiaceae
Source: RNAcentral